UGAACCUGCGGAAGGAUCAUUGAAUCUAUCAAUAACCACACCGUGCACCUCUUUGUCUGGCCCAUCAUUCUCUCCGGAGUUUGGUGCUUCCCGGGUAGCAUUAACUUGCUGCUUGGGUUGGGCUCGGCUGCCCAUUCAUCUGGGUAGUCGGGUUGGUCUUUGCUAACCAACAACACCAAAUCAAAACUAAAGCCAAAGAUAUGUGCUCGGCCUAGCCGUCACAUCCUAACUGAGACAACUCUCAACAACGGAUAUCUUGGCUCUCGCAACGAUGAAGAACGCAGCGAAAUGCGAUACGUAGUGUGAAUUGCAGAAUUCCGUGAAUCAUCAAAUCUUUGAACGCAAAUUGCGCCCAAGGCUUCGGCUGAGGGCAUGUUUGCCUCAGCGUCGGGUUAAUCUCACUCCCCUCCUCCCAUAGUGGAAGCGGGUAAGUGGACCUGGCUGUUCCAGAGCUUGAGUGCUUCAUUGCGCUUGGCAAUAGCUCUGGAUCAGCUGAAGAGUAGAGGCUAGCUCAAGGACCCGUCAAGGGCCGCAACUGGGUAGGCAGCUCACGCUUGCUAUUUCUAGUUGUUGGCUUGGGACCAUGAGCUCGGCCCUCAAACAGGAACCUCUUUUUUUUCUCGACCUGAGCUCAAGCAAGACCACCCGCUGAACUUAAGCAUAUCAAUAAGCGGAGGAAAAGAAACUAACAAGGAUUCCCUUAGUAAUGGCGAAUGAAACGGGAAUAGCCCAACUUGAAAAUCUCCCUUUGGAGAAUUGUAGUCUAGAGAAGCGCCCUCUGCGGCGGCCGGAGCCUAAGUCCGUUGGAAAACGGCGUCAGAGAGGGUGAGAACCCCGUCGGCUCUAGGCUUAGCUGCUCCACGAGGUGCUUUCCACGAGUCGGGUUGUUUGGGAAUGCAGCCCAAAAUGGGAGGUACAUCCCUUCUAAGGCUAAAUACUGGCGAGAGACCGAUAGCGAACAAGUACCGUGAGGGAAAGAUGAAAAGAACUUUGAAAAGAGAGUUAAAAAGUGCUUGAAAUUGUUGAGAGGGAAGCGUUUGGAGGUUAUAGGUGCGCCUAGGCUUAUACGAUUCUAACGAGCCGUUGUAUGUGCUAGGUGCUGGUCAACAUGGGUUAGCCUGGCGGGAUAACAGCGGGGGUUGAUACCCCGUCUAUGCCGCCGGGUUGAUCAAGGUGUGAAUGGCGCUCUGUCCUUCGGGAACUGCGUCAUCAAGAUGUUGGCAGAAGGCCUUCAAACGA
RNAcentral lists this ribosomal RNA (1239 nucleotides) under Dunaliella salina. RNAcentral's name for it is "eukaryotic LSU rRNA". The stretch from base 622 to 1239 matches the Rfam family "Eukaryotic large subunit ribosomal RNA", at positions 1 to 647 of the family's 3401-position model. Lineage: Eukaryota; Viridiplantae; Chlorophyta; Chlorophyceae; Chlamydomonadales; Dunaliellaceae. The record is from RNAcentral. RNAcentral also lists the same sequence under 1 other name.